Molecule: ribosomal RNA, 631 nt
Filed under: uncultured Sphingobacteriales bacterium
Lineage: Bacteria; Pseudomonadati; Bacteroidota; Sphingobacteriia; Sphingobacteriales
Description: bacterial SSU rRNA
Rfam family: Bacterial small subunit ribosomal RNA
Source: RNAcentral
GCAAGUCGAACGGCAGUAGAACCAGCAAUGGGGCUAUGAGAGUGGCGAACGGGUGCGUAACGCGUAUGCAACUUACCUCCAACUGGGGAAUAGCCCUGGGAAACCGGGAUUAACACCGCAUAAGAUGGUAGAACCGCAUGGUUCAGCCAUUAAAGUUUACGGUUGGAGAUGGGCAUGCGUGCCAUUAGCUAGUUGGCGGGGUAAUAGCCCACCAAGGCGACGAUGGCUAGGGGGUCUGAGAGGAUGAUCCCCCACACUGGUACUGAGAUACGGACCAGACUCCUACGGGAGGCAGCAGUAGGGAAUAUUGGUCAAUGGACGCAAGUCUGAACCAGCCAUGCCGCGUGCAGGAUGAAGGCGCUCUGCGUUGUAAACUGCUUUUGUACGGGAAGAAUAUAUCGUUUGCGAACGGUUUUGACGGUACCGUAAGAAUAAGGAUCGGCUAACUACGUGCCAGCAGCCGCGGUAAUACGUAGGAUCCAAGCGUUGUCCGGAUUUAUUGGGUUUAAAGGGUGCGCAGGCGGCCUGAUAAGUCAGUGGUGAAAGCCCGUUGCUUAACAACGGAACUGCCAUUGAUACUGUCGGGCUUGAGUACAGUUGAGGUUGGCGGAAUGUAUCAUGUAGCGGUGAA